Molecule: RNA transcript, 7049 nt
Organism: Homo sapiens (human)
Lineage: Eukaryota; Metazoa; Chordata; Mammalia; Primates; Hominidae
Gene: NLRC5
Gene name: NLR family CARD domain containing 5
Exons: 50
Source: RefSeq, marked reviewed
AGUUUCGUGCAGAGCGCGGAGGAGCCGCGAGCGCUGAGGGAGUCUGCACUAUGGAAACAACCUGUCAAUCCAGCUCAAGGCACACAUAGCCCAGACACCCAUGAGACCCUCUCCGUGGGGACCCUAGAGCACCUAUCAUGAACGAGGAGACCAAGGCUGGCUCCUCAUGGACCCCGUUGGCCUCCAGCUCGGCAACAAGAACCUGUGGAGCUGUCUUGUGAGGCUGCUCACCAAAGACCCAGAAUGGCUGAACGCCAAGAUGAAGUUCUUCCUCCCCAACACGGACCUGGAUUCCAGGAACGAGACCUUGGACCCUGAACAGAGAGUCAUCCUGCAACUCAACAAGCUGCAUGUCCAGGGUUCGGACACCUGGCAGUCUUUCAUUCAUUGUGUGUGCAUGCAGCUGGAGGUGCCUCUGGACCUGGAGGUGCUGCUGCUGAGUACUUUUGGCUAUGAUGAUGGGUUCACCAGCCAGCUGGGAGCUGAGGGGAAAAGCCAACCUGAAUCUCAGCUCCACCAUGGCCUGAAGCGCCCACAUCAGAGCUGUGGGUCCUCACCCCGCCGGAAGCAGUGCAAGAAGCAGCAGCUAGAGUUGGCCAAGAAGUACCUGCAGCUCCUGCGGACCUCUGCCCAGCAGCGCUACAGGAGCCAAAUCCCUGGGUCAGGGCAGCCCCACGCCUUCCACCAGGUCUAUGUCCCUCCAAUCCUGCGCCGGGCCACAGCAUCCUUAGACACUCCGGAGGGGGCCAUUAUGGGGGACGUCAAGGUGGAAGAUGGUGCUGACGUGAGCAUCUCGGACCUCUUCAACACCAGGGUUAACAAGGGCCCGAGGGUGACCGUGCUUUUGGGGAAGGCUGGCAUGGGCAAGACCACGCUGGCCCACCGGCUCUGCCAGAAGUGGGCAGAGGGCCAUCUGAACUGUUUCCAGGCCCUGUUCCUUUUUGAAUUCCGCCAGCUCAACUUGAUCACGAGGUUCCUGACACCGUCCGAGCUCCUUUUUGAUCUGUACCUGAGCCCUGAAUCGGACCACGACACUGUCUUCCAGUACCUGGAGAAGAACGCUGACCAAGUCCUGCUGAUCUUUGAUGGGCUAGAUGAGGCCCUCCAGCCUAUGGGUCCUGAUGGCCCAGGCCCAGUCCUCACCCUUUUCUCCCAUCUCUGCAAUGGGACCCUCCUGCCUGGCUGCCGGGUGAUGGCUACCUCCCGUCCAGGGAAGCUGCCUGCCUGCCUGCCUGCAGAGGCAGCCAUGGUCCACAUGUUGGGCUUUGAUGGGCCACGGGUGGAAGAAUAUGUGAAUCACUUCUUCAGCGCCCAGCCAUCGCGGGAGGGGGCCCUGGUGGAGUUACAGACAAAUGGACGUCUCCGAAGCCUGUGUGCGGUGCCCGCACUGUGCCAAGUCGCCUGUCUCUGCCUCCACCAUCUGCUUCCUGACCACGCCCCAGGCCAGUCUGUGGCCCUCCUGCCCAACAUGACUCAGCUCUAUAUGCAGAUGGUGCUCGCCCUCAGCCCCCCUGGGCACUUGCCCACCUCGUCCCUACUGGACCUGGGGGAGGUGGCCCUGAGGGGCCUGGAGACAGGGAAGGUUAUCUUCUAUGCAAAAGAUAUUGCUCCACCCUUGAUAGCUUUUGGGGCCACUCACAGCCUGCUGACUUCCUUCUGCGUCUGCACAGGCCCUGGGCACCAGCAGACAGGCUAUGCUUUCACCCACCUCAGCCUGCAGGAGUUUCUUGCUGCCCUGCACCUGAUGGCCAGCCCCAAGGUGAACAAAGACACACUUACCCAGUAUGUUACCCUCCAUUCCCGCUGGGUACAGCGGACCAAAGCUAGACUGGGCCUCUCAGACCACCUCCCCACCUUCCUGGCGGGCCUGGCAUCCUGCACCUGCCGCCCCUUCCUUAGCCACCUGGCGCAGGGCAAUGAGGACUGUGUGGGUGCCAAGCAGGCUGCUGUAGUGCAGGUGUUGAAGAAGUUGGCCACCCGCAAGCUCACAGGGCCAAAGGUUGUAGAGCUGUGUCACUGUGUGGAUGAGACACAGGAGCCUGAGCUGGCCAGUCUCACCGCACAAAGCCUCCCCUAUCAACUGCCCUUCCACAAUUUCCCACUGACCUGCACCGACCUGGCCACCCUGACCAACAUCCUAGAGCACAGGGAGGCCCCCAUCCACCUGGAUUUUGAUGGCUGUCCCCUGGAGCCCCACUGCCCUGAGGCUCUGGUAGGCUGUGGGCAGAUAGAGAAUCUCAGCUUUAAGAGCAGGAAGUGUGGGGAUGCCUUUGCAGAAGCCCUCUCCAGGAGCUUGCCGACAAUGGGGAGGCUGCAGAUGCUGGGGUUAGCAGGAAGUAAAAUCACUGCCCGAGGCAUCAGCCACCUGGUGAAAGCUUUGCCUCUCUGUCCACAGCUGAAAGAAGUCAGUUUUCGGGACAACCAGCUCAGUGACCAGGUGGUGCUGAACAUUGUGGAGGUUCUCCCUCACCUACCACGGCUCCGGAAGCUUGACCUGAGCAGCAACAGCAUCUGCGUGUCAACCCUACUCUGCUUGGCAAGGGUGGCAGUCACGUGUCCUACCGUCAGGAUGCUUCAGGCCAGGGAGGCGGACCUCAUCUUCCUUCUUUCCCCGCCCACAGAGACAACUGCAGAGCUACAAAGAGCUCCAGACCUGCAGGAAAGUGACGGCCAGAGGAAAGGGGCUCAGAGCAGAAGCUUGACGCUCAGGCUGCAGAAGUGUCAGCUCCAGGUCCACGAUGCGGAGGCCCUCAUAGCCCUGCUCCAGGAAGGCCCUCACCUGGAGGAAGUGGACCUCUCAGGGAACCAGCUGGAAGAUGAAGGCUGUCGGCUGAUGGCAGAGGCUGCAUCCCAGCUGCACAUCGCCAGGAAGCUGGACCUCAGUAACAACGGGCUUUCUGUGGCCGGGGUGCAUUGUGUGCUGAGGGCCGUGAGUGCGUGCUGGACCCUGGCAGAGCUGCACAUCAGCCUGCAGCACAAAACUGUGAUCUUCAUGUUUGCCCAGGAGCCAGAGGAGCAGAAGGGGCCCCAGGAGAGGGCUGCAUUUCUUGACAGCCUCAUGCUCCAGAUGCCCUCUGAGCUGCCUCUGAGCUCCCGAAGGAUGAGGCUGACACAUUGUGGCCUCCAAGAAAAGCACCUAGAGCAGCUCUGCAAGGCUCUGGGAGGAAGCUGCCACCUCGGUCACCUCCACCUCGACUUCUCAGGCAAUGCUCUGGGGGAUGAAGGUGCAGCCCGGCUGGCUCAGCUGCUCCCAGGGCUGGGAGCUCUGCAGUCCUUGAACCUCAGUGAGAACGGUUUGUCCCUGGAUGCCGUGUUGGGUUUGGUUCGGUGCUUCUCCACUCUGCAGUGGCUCUUCCGCUUGGACAUCAGGACCCCCAAGAAUGGGAGGUGCCACAGCAGAUGGACCAGGCUCAGUUACUUAACUGCUGCGAGCUCAGAGCAGGUCCCAGAGCCUCUCCAGGCCUCAGUUUCCUCAUCUGUAAAAUGGAGAUAAGAAUAAUUACUGGCCUGGCACAGUGGCUCAAGCCUGUAAUCCCAGCACUUUGGGAGGCCAAGACAGGAGGAGGAGGAUCACCUGAGCCUAGGAGUUUGAGACCAGCCUGGACAACAUGGGAAGUUGGUCUUUGACCAUUUUCAAACUGCUGCUUCCUCUCUGCUUCCAGCUUUGAAAGCCAACACAUCCUCCUGAGAGGGGACAAGACAAGCAGGGAUAUGUGGGCCACUGGAUCUUUGCCAGACUUCCCAGCUGCAGCCAAGUUCUUAGGGUUCCGUCAGCGCUGCAUCCCCAGGAGCCUCUGCCUCAGUGAGUGUCCUCUGGAGCCCCCAAGCCUCACCCGCCUCUGUGCCACUCUGAAGGACUGCCCGGGACCCCUGGAACUGCAAUUGUCCUGUGAGUUCCUGAGUGACCAGAGCCUGGAGACUCUACUGGACUGCUUACCUCAACUCCCUCAGCUGAGCCUGCUGCAGCUGAGCCAGACGGGACUGUCCCCGAAAAGCCCCUUCCUGCUGGCCAACACCUUAAGCCUGUGUCCACGGGUUAAAAAGGUGGAUCUCAGGUCCCUGCACCAUGCAACUUUGCACUUCAGAUCCAACGAGGAGGAGGAAGGCGUGUGCUGUGGGUUCACAGGCUGCAGCCUCAGCCAGGAGCACGUAGAGUCACUCUGCUGGUUGCUGAGCAAGUGUAAAGACCUCAGCCAGGUGGAUCUCUCAGCAAACCUGCUGGGCGACAGCGGACUCAGAUGCCUUCUGGAAUGUCUGCCGCAGGUGCCCAUCUCCGGUUUGCUUGAUCUGAGUCACAACAGCAUUUCUCAGGAAAGUGCCCUGUACCUGCUGGAGACACUGCCCUCCUGCCCACGUGUCCGGGAGGCCUCAGUGAACCUGGGCUCUGAGCAGAGCUUCCGGAUUCACUUCUCCAGAGAGGACCAGGCUGGGAAGACACUCAGGCUAAGUGAGUGCAGCUUCCGGCCAGAGCACGUGUCCAGGCUGGCCACCGGCUUGAGCAAGUCCCUGCAGCUGACGGAGCUCACGCUGACCCAGUGCUGCCUGGGCCAGAAGCAGCUGGCCAUCCUCCUGAGCUUGGUGGGGCGACCCGCAGGGCUGUUCAGCCUCAGGGUGCAGGAGCCGUGGGCGGACAGAGCCAGGGUUCUCUCCCUGUUAGAAGUCUGCGCCCAGGCCUCAGGCAGUGUCACUGAAAUCAGCAUCUCCGAGACCCAGCAGCAGCUCUGUGUCCAGCUGGAAUUUCCUCGCCAGGAAGAGAAUCCAGAAGCUGUGGCACUCAGGUUGGCUCACUGUGACCUUGGAGCCCACCACAGCCUUCUUGUCGGGCAGCUGAUGGAGACAUGUGCCAGGCUGCAGCAGCUCAGCUUGUCUCAGGUUAACCUCUGUGAGGACGAUGAUGCCAGUUCCCUGCUGCUGCAGAGCCUCCUGCUGUCCCUCUCUGAGCUGAAGACAUUUCGGCUGACCUCCAGCUGUGUGAGCACCGAGGGCCUCGCCCACCUGGCAUCUGGUCUGGGCCACUGCCACCACUUGGAGGAGCUGGACUUGUCUAACAAUCAAUUUGAUGAGGAGGGCACCAAGGCGCUGAUGAGGGCCCUUGAGGGGAAAUGGAUGCUAAAGAGGCUGGACCUCAGUCACCUUCUGCUGAACAGCUCCACCUUGGCCUUGCUUACUCACAGACUAAGCCAGAUGACCUGCCUGCAGAGCCUCAGACUGAACAGGAACAGUAUCGGUGAUGUCGGUUGCUGCCACCUUUCUGAGGCUCUCAGGGCUGCCACCAGCCUAGAGGAGCUGGACUUGAGCCACAACCAGAUUGGAGACGCUGGUGUCCAGCACUUAGCUACCAUCCUGCCUGGGCUGCCAGAGCUCAGGAAGAUAGACCUCUCAGGGAAUAGCAUCAGCUCAGCCGGGGGAGUGCAGUUGGCAGAGUCUCUCGUUCUUUGCAGGCGCCUGGAGGAGUUGAUGCUUGGCUGCAAUGCCCUGGGGGAUCCCACAGCCCUGGGGCUGGCUCAGGAGCUGCCCCAGCACCUGAGGGUCCUACACCUACCAUUCAGCCAUCUGGGCCCAGGUGGGGCCCUGAGCCUGGCCCAGGCCCUGGAUGGAUCCCCCCAUUUGGAAGAGAUCAGCUUGGCGGAAAACAACCUGGCUGGAGGGGUCCUGCGUUUCUGUAUGGAGCUCCCGCUGCUCAGACAGAUAGACCUGGUUUCCUGUAAGAUUGACAACCAGACUGCCAAGCUCCUCACCUCCAGCUUCACGAGCUGCCCUGCCCUGGAAGUAAUCUUGCUGUCCUGGAAUCUCCUCGGGGAUGAGGCAGCUGCCGAGCUGGCCCAGGUGCUGCCGCAGAUGGGCCGGCUGAAGAGAGUGGACCUGGAGAAGAAUCAGAUCACAGCUUUGGGGGCCUGGCUCCUGGCUGAAGGACUGGCCCAGGGGUCUAGCAUCCAAGUCAUCCGCCUCUGGAAUAACCCCAUUCCCUGCGACAUGGCCCAGCACCUGAAGAGCCAGGAGCCCAGGCUGGACUUUGCCUUCUUUGACAACCAGCCCCAGGCCCCUUGGGGUACUUGAUGGCCCCCUCAAGACCUUUGGAAUCCAGCCAAGUGAUGCACCCAAAUGAUCCACCUUUCGCCCACUGGGAUAAUUGACUCAGGAAAGAAGAGCCUCGGCAGGGCGCUCUGCACUCCACCCAGGAGGAAGGAUACGUGUGUCCUGCUGCAGUCCUCAGGGAGAACUUUUUUGGGAACCAGGAGCUGGGUCUGGACAAAGGAGUACCCUGCAUUACGUGGGAUAUGUGUGAUCAAUUGGGGACAUGCGACACACAAUGAGGGUGUCAUGACAAUGCAUGACACGUACGGUUAUAUGUGGCAGUGUGACCCCUUGACAUGUGGCGUUACAUGAAAGUCAGUGUGGCACGUGUUCUGUGGCAUGGGUGCUGGCAUCCCAAGUAGCAGGAUACAUGAUUGUUGGUCUAUAUAUGACACAUGACAAAUGUCCAUGUCACAGGACUCAUGGCUGGCCAGAUGACCUCAGGCUGGCCCAAGAUCUAAUUUAUUAAUUUUUAAAGCAAAUACAUAUUUAUAGAUUGUGUGUAUGGAGCAGCUAAGUCAGGAAAAGUCUUCCGCCCGAGCUGGGAGGGGAGAGUGUCCAUGCACUGACCAGUCCAGGGGCUCAAGGGCCAGGGCUCUGGAACAAGCCAGGGACUCAGCCAUUAAGUCCCCUCCUGCCUCAAUCCUCAGCCUACCCAUCUAUAAACUUGAUGACUCCUCCCUUACUUACAUACUAGCUUCCAAGGACAGGUGGAGGUAGGGCCAGCCUGGCGGGAGUGGAGAAGCCCAGUCUGUCCUAUGUAAGGGACAAAGCCAGGUCUAAUGGUACUGGGUAGGGGGCACUGCCAAGACAAUAAGCUAGGCUACUGGGUCCAGCUACUACUUUGGUGGGAUUCAGGUGAGUCUCCAUGCACUUCACAUGUUACCCAGUGUUCUUGUUACUUCCAAGGAGAACCAAGAAUGGCUCUGUCACACUCGAAGCCAGGCUUGAUCAAUAAACACAAUGGUAUUCCA